Molecule: long non-coding RNA, 1737 nt
Organism: Lates calcarifer (barramundi perch)
Lineage: Eukaryota; Metazoa; Chordata; Actinopteri; Centropomidae
Exons: 2
Source: RefSeq, a predicted model, not a curated record
GAAAGAGAGAGAAGGAGAGGGAGAGAGAGGGAGGAGGAGGGAGGAGGCGGGAGCUCGAACCGACCAACCAGAGAGAGAGAGCUCUUGAUCACCCAGUGCAGUCCUCUCUCUCUUCAGUUAGAUGAAGGAUCUGAUCUGAUCUGGUUUCUGGUGGGAACCCAGUGAGGGAUCAUCACCCCUGUCCACAGACUGUGGAAGAGGUCUUCAGGUCCUGAACCAGCAUCCUCUGCUGGUCUCUCCAGAUCCAGACACAGAUACCAGACCAUGGUGCAGGUCCCUGUUCCUCUGUCCCACAGUCAGCAGGAUCAGAUCCAGAUUCAGGUGGAUCAGAACCAACAAAACAAAAAUUCACUGCAGCAGAAAAAUGGUGUUAAAAUUAUCCUGAAAACUACAGAGACCAGGGUCCAGAGUCCUGUAGAGUCGGGAGUCCUGCAGAGUCUGGACUCAACACAGUGAAAACUUUGUUAUUCUGAAAUUUGCUGUUUGAGAUUAUUUGAAUCCAGAUCCACUGAGUCCUCCCUCUGGACUCAGGGCCUGCAGUGAUUGGACAAAACAGACUAAUGACAUCUUAUUAAAGUUUUUGGAAGUGGUUUAUGUCUGUGUCCAGAUCCGAGGCAGGACCUGGGUCUACCACUGAUCUCAGACCAGUGAUAAAUCAGAGCCAUACCUGAGCCAGACUUGAGCCAGGGGUAAAGCACAGCCAGACCUGAGCCAGACUUGUGCCAGAUCGGUCAUGUUCCUGCUGCCGAUCGUCAUCUCUCAGACAGGAAGUGAGACAGGCUUUUCAGAUUAACAGCGCUCCAGUCUUCUGGGGACGAGGCCUCGGAGGCUCCAAGGGGAGGACCGAGUCUGGACUGAAAAACAAUGAGAGGAGGAAGAAAAAGAGAGAAGAGAGGAUUCAGCAGAAUAAAAACUGAGAGAACACGAAGGAGGAGAAAAGAGGAGGACGAUUUAAACUGAGCAAAGGAUGAAGAGAGAAAAGAGGAGAGGAGGAGGAGAUGGAUGACAAAGUGAAGAAAAUGGAAGAAAAAUUAGGAAGAAAAAGAGAAAGAGAAGAAAUGGAGGAUGUUCUUUUCCCAACCAAAUUCAACCUGAGAAGAAAACAAAGAGGAAAAGAAAAGAAACAGGAGAAGAAGAAAAACAGGAACAAAUAAAAAGCGAUGGAGAAGAAGUGAAGAAGGAGGAGCAGCGUCUGGUGCUAAGAGACCCGGAGACAAGAAGAAGAAAAAACAGACAAGGAACCAGAAAAAUGAAAAUAAAAUGAGAGGAAACAAAGCGCUCGACCUUCAGCGGCAAACAGAAAAACUGUGUGUGUGUGUGUGUGUGUGUUGCUGAGGGAUUUCCAGUCGUCCCAGUUCAGGGAAUUCCCUCCAUCCCAGCAGAGAGGAGGCGAGCGAGGGAAGAGCGACACCAAGAGGAAACAGAGAGAGAGAAAGAUUUUACACCCCUUUGUUUUUACAUGAAGAAAUAAAAGUUUAAAUGUUUCUUUUUCCUUCGUCUCAUGAACCUGAUUCAGAAUCAGGAUCAGCUCUGAUCUGGUCUAAGGUCUGAUCUGGUCUCAGGUCAGUUGUAGAUCACAUCAUCAGGAUCAGUUUUAUUUCUUCUCUUUGAGGUUGUUUCAGAGCAGAGACCAGGACCAGGGCCGCUCUGAUGCUAACUGUGUUAAAGAAAAUAAAUUAUGUAUUUGUUAUUCAGUGAUUUUAUUUCUGACAAUAAUAAAAAUCCAGAGAGUCUGUG